This 464-nucleotide ribosomal RNA is filed under the name uncultured bacterium. Its description in RNAcentral is "partial 16S ribosomal RNA". It matches the Rfam family "Bacterial small subunit ribosomal RNA", at positions 339 to 795 of the family's 1533-position model. The record is from RNAcentral.
CUACGGGCGGCAGCAGUGGGGAAUAUUGGACAAUGGGGGAAACCCUGAUCCAGCAAUGCCGCGUGUGUGAAGAAGGCCUGCGGGUUGUAAAGCACUUUCGGUUGGGAGGACUGCUUCUAGCACUAAUAUUGUUGGAAGUUGACGUUACCUUCAGAAGAAGCACCGGCUAACUCCGUGCCAGCAGCCGCGGUAAUACGGAGGAUGCAAGCGUUAAUCGGAAUUACUGGGCGUAAAGCGCGCGUAGGCGGCUAGAUCAGUCGGGUGUGAAAGCCCCGGGCUUAACCUGGGAACUGCAUCCGAUACUGUCUAGCUUGAGUACAGGAGAGGAGAGUGGAAUUCCACAUGUAGCGGUGAAAUGCGUAGAUAUGUGGAGGAACACCAAUGGCGAAGGCAGCUCUCUGGCCUGAUACUGACGCUGAGGUGCGAAAGCGUGGGGAGCAAACAGGAUUAAUACCCCUGUAGUC